This 253-nucleotide ribosomal RNA is filed under the name uncultured bacterium. RNAcentral's name for it is "partial 16S ribosomal RNA". It matches the Rfam family "Bacterial small subunit ribosomal RNA", at positions 524 to 776 of the family's 1533-position model. The record is from RNAcentral.
UACAGAGGUCUCAAGCGUUGUUCGGAUUCAUUGGGCGUAAAGGGUGCGUAGGCGGCGCGGUAAGUCGGGUGUGAAAUCUCGGAGCUUAACUCCGAAACUGCAUUCGAUACUGCCGUACUUGAGGACUGGAGAGGAGACUGGAAUUUACGGUGUAGCGGUGAAAUGCGUAGAUAUCGAGAGGAACACCGGUGGCGAAGGCGGCCAACUGGACGAAUACUGACGCUGAGACUCGAAAGCGUGGGGAGCAAACAGG